GAAAUGCGAUAAGUAGUGUGAAUUGCAGAAUUCAGUGAAUCAUCGAAUCUUUGAACGCACAUUGCGCCCUUUGGUAUUCCAAAGGGCAUGCCUGUUCGAGCGUCAUUUGUACCCUCAAGCUUUGCUUGGCGUUGGGCGUCUUGUCUCUAGCUUUGCUGGAGACUCGCCUUAAAGUAAUUGGCAGCCGGCCUACUGGUUUCGGAGCGCAGCACAAGUCGCACUCUCUAUCAGCAAAGGUCUAGCAUCCAUUAAGCCUUUUUUCAACUUUUGACCUCGGAUCAGGUAGGGAUACCCGCUGAACUUAAGC
This 307-nucleotide unclassified non-coding RNA is filed under the name plant metagenome. RNAcentral describes it as "partial contains 5.8S ribosomal RNA, internal transcribed spacer 2, and large subunit ribosomal RNA". The stretch from base 1 to 105 matches the Rfam family "5.8S ribosomal RNA", at positions 50 to 154 of the family's 154-position model. The record is from RNAcentral.